GGGGGAAGACAUCGUGCGAAUCGCUGACUUAGAGCUUGAAAAUCAAGGAAUCGGCGAUUCAAAAUCUGGGGGUCUGAGCGAUCGAGAAAGGGCAAAAGAGUGUUGUGAGGGUUUGGGGAAAACCUCUCCACUAUUUAUAGGCCUUGGGAAAAUUGCAAAAAUCCCCCAGAGAAUCCAAAAUUUACGAAAUUUGAGAUCAAGAUUCGAUCUCCAAAUCCC
Molecule: long non-coding RNA, 219 nt
Filed under: Zostera marina
Lineage: Eukaryota; Viridiplantae; Streptophyta; Magnoliopsida; Alismatales; Zosteraceae
Description: long non-coding RNA (ZMAR_LNC005105)
Source: RNAcentral